UGAGUGGCUUUCACCAAUGAAUAGAUGACU
This 30-nucleotide non-coding RNA is filed under the name Mus musculus (house mouse). Lineage: Eukaryota; Metazoa; Chordata; Mammalia; Rodentia; Muridae. The record is from RNAcentral.